AGCAAUAGUUAAAAUGGCGUAAACUUUCGAACCGUGUCAGGGAGGAAACUCAGCAGCACUAAGAUUGAUCUUACGGGUGUUUUAAUUAUUGAAGGA
This 96-nucleotide signal recognition particle RNA is filed under the name Fusobacterium sp. CAG:815. RNAcentral describes it as "Bacterial small signal recognition particle RNA". The stretch from base 6 to 91 matches the Rfam family "Bacterial small signal recognition particle RNA". From Rfam's summary of the family: The signal recognition particle (SRP) is a universally conserved ribonucleoprotein involved in the co-translational targeting of proteins to membranes. RNAcentral also lists the same sequence under 7 other names. Lineage: Bacteria; Fusobacteriati; Fusobacteriota; Fusobacteriia; Fusobacteriales; Fusobacteriaceae. The record is from Rfam by way of RNAcentral.